GAUUUAUAGCCAUGUUACGGUGUUUGAUUUCAGGAUCAGACUUAAAAGGGAAGUUCGGUGAAAAUCCGAUGCGGUCCCGCCACUGUAAAUGAGGAGCAACAUCCGAUACACCACUGUUCACUUUUGCAGAGAAUGGGAAGGGAGGAUGCUUGCGAGGAUUCAUGAGCCAGGAGACCUGCCGUAAGAUGUAACACUCC
RNAcentral lists this non-coding RNA (197 nucleotides) under Brevibacillus laterosporus. The record is from RNAcentral. Lineage: Bacteria; Bacillati; Bacillota; Bacilli; Caryophanales; Paenibacillaceae. RNAcentral also lists the same sequence under 1 other name.